This 221-nucleotide long non-coding RNA is filed under the name Lathyrus oleraceus (garden pea). Its description in RNAcentral is "Pisum sativum (pea) long non-coding RNA (PSAT_LNC035314)". Lineage: Eukaryota; Viridiplantae; Streptophyta; Magnoliopsida; Fabales; Fabaceae. The record is from RNAcentral.
UUUAUUUUGCUGUUGUUGUUAUUCUUGUUUGAUUGAGAGAGAGAGAGAGAGAGAGAGAGAGAGAGAGAGAGAGAGAGAGAGAGAGAGAGAGAAUGAUGGAAAAGAAGCUUAGAGAGAGGGAGAGUUUUAAAUUUAAUAAAAAAAGAAGUUAUAUUGUUGUUGCGGAUUACAGACACGCGAGGAAGAAGAAGAGAAACAUGUUGUUUUUCUUUGACUUUUUC